CCUUAUUUUAUGACUUGGUGACUGAGGACAUAGAUGAUGAAAGUUUUCCACGAGUAAAUCAUAUCAGUGAUGAUGAUUUGAAAACUUUGAAUAACGCGACUGUUGAGGAUUUGAAGAAGUUAGCACAGAAAGUAAGAUAUUGCACCUUUGAGUUUUAAAUGUCUUGUUUAUUAGUAUUUUAAUUCGGAACCUUUUUGAAGGCCAAGAAAAUGAAUGUUUCGUUGUACACAACUGACUAUGAAGUAGAAAGACCUGAGGACAGGGCUGAUGCAAGACCUGAGGACAGGGCUGAUGCAUUACCAUUGGUAAAUCAUC
Molecule: long non-coding RNA, 315 nt
Filed under: Hordeum vulgare
Lineage: Eukaryota; Viridiplantae; Streptophyta; Magnoliopsida; Poales; Poaceae
Description: long non-coding RNA (HVUL_LNC005679)
Source: RNAcentral